This 429-nucleotide ribosomal RNA is filed under the name Chloroflexota bacterium. Its description in RNAcentral is "Chloroflexi bacterium partial 16S ribosomal RNA". It matches the Rfam family "Bacterial small subunit ribosomal RNA", at positions 355 to 776 of the family's 1533-position model. The record is from RNAcentral. Lineage: Bacteria; Bacillati; Chloroflexota.
UGGGGAAUAUUGCACAAUGGGCGCAAGCCUGAUGCAGCCAUGCCGCGUGUAUGAAGAAGGCCUUCGGGUUGUAAAGUACUUUCAGUCGGGAGGAAGGCGGUAAGGUUAAUAACCUUAUCAAUUGACGUUACCGACAGAAGAAGCACCGGCUAACUCCGUGCCAGCAGCCGCGGUAAUACGGAGGGUGCAAGCGUUAAUCGGAAUUACUGGGCGUAAAGCGCACGCAGGCGGUUGAUUGAGUCAGAUGUGAAAUCCCCGGGCUUAACCCGGGAAUUGCAUCUGAUACUGGUCAGCUAGAGUCUUGUAGAGGGGGGUAGAGUUCCAUGUGUAGCGGUGAAAUGCGUAGAGAUGUGGAGGAAUACCGGUGGCGAAGGCGGCCCCCUGGACAAAGACUGACGCUCAGGUGCGAAAGCGUGGGGAGCAAACAGG